RNAcentral lists this long non-coding RNA (399 nucleotides) under Linum usitatissimum (flax). RNAcentral's name for it is "long non-coding RNA (LUSI_LNC003888)". Lineage: Eukaryota; Viridiplantae; Streptophyta; Magnoliopsida; Malpighiales; Linaceae. The record is from RNAcentral.
CUUCCUCCACAAGUCAAAUCCCCACAUUAACUUGGAUGAAAUGAUGAGUUCACAAAAUCCGGUAUGAAUAUUCAUGGUUUGGUUUAGUUUGUUUAAUGCAUCUAUACUCAAUAGUAUUUUUAUUAUUAUUUUAAUAGAUAUUAUUUAUAGUAUUCACGUCGUAGGAGGAUAGUGGGAACACAUCGGUGGAGCGCCUUGAUGAAUUCAAUCAUGUGAGAGCAAAACUUGAAUGUAUUCAAAUUUAAGAUUACUUUUUCUAUAAUAUGUUGGUAAAAUUGCCGUUUGAUGUAUUUGUAUUAGGAGGAAGAAGAAAAUAUUUUAGGAAAUGAUCCACGUCUUCCUUUAUUGCAAUCCUCACAGACAAUCUUAGACCAACCACAAUCACAAAAUGUAUGUUUU